This 218-nucleotide long non-coding RNA is filed under the name Olea europaea (common olive). RNAcentral describes it as "long non-coding RNA (OEUR_LNC008916)". Lineage: Eukaryota; Viridiplantae; Streptophyta; Magnoliopsida; Lamiales; Oleaceae. The record is from RNAcentral.
AGAAGUCCUGAUGUCUGAGUAUUUGAAAAGUCAACUCCCAGCCAAAGCCCAAAUUCCUCGGCCAUAGCCCAAAGAAACCCUAGUUCAUAAACCUCAUUGCUACGUCAUUCUCCCUUUUGGUUCACUUUCUCAGUCACUGCUCUCAAAACCCCAGCCACCUCGAACAAUGCCGCCGAAGUUUGAUCCCAGCCAGGUCGUUGACGUUUUUGUCCGCGUCA